UGUUGUGUAAACUGCUCAGAAACCCCCUCAUUGGCAAUCUAGCUAGGAAAGCCAUCCAUCCUCUGAAUGCUCUAGGUCUCUAGUUUGUGGCUGUAAAGUUUCUUGAGGAUGUGAUUAUCCUAAAGGUCACCACAAGGUCAUUUUAUGCAGAGAGGUCACGUU
Sebastes umbrosus (honeycomb rockfish) is the source of this 162-nucleotide long non-coding RNA. RefSeq lists it as uncharacterized. The transcript has 2 exons. The record is from RefSeq and is a predicted model, not a curated record. Lineage: Eukaryota; Metazoa; Chordata; Actinopteri; Perciformes; Sebastidae.